UAGACAUUUGCUAUACUUAUACAAAUUGUAUAAUUUAGGAUCAUAAGAAAUCAAAGUUUACUGUACAUGCGCAUAUAUAAUGCCAUAACUUCUAACAUAUGAUAUCAACCAUUCAUAAUUGAUGCAGGUGGUUGUGAUUAGAGCUCCUUAUCUCUUGCAGUAGCAAAAUCCAACCGACGAGUCAAUUCAAUUUGCCACACACUUUCUAACGGGCUGACCUAUGACAGCAAUACAACUUAUGGCAGCGACAAGAAGGAGAAGAAGAAAAAAGGAAGAGAAGGGAGAAG
This 287-nucleotide long non-coding RNA is filed under the name Elaeis guineensis (African oil palm). Its description in RNAcentral is "long non-coding RNA (EGUI_LNC017189)". The record is from RNAcentral. Lineage: Eukaryota; Viridiplantae; Streptophyta; Magnoliopsida; Arecales; Arecaceae.